GAUGAACGCUGACAGAAUGCUUAACACAUGCAAGUCUACCAAGAAUCACUUCGGUGCGGAAUGGUGGCGGACGGGUGAGUAACGCGUACAUAAUCUGACCUUUAGACUGGGAUAUCCUUUGGAAACGAAGGUUAAUACCGGAUAUUAUGAGAUGGACGCAUGGUCAACUUAUGAAAGCUAAAUGCACUAGAGGAGGAGUUUGCGUCCCAUUAGCUAGUUGGGGGGGUAAAGGCUCACCAAGGCCACGAUGGGUAGCCGGCCUGGGAGGGUGAACGGCCACAAGGGAACUGAGACACGGGCCUUACUCCUACGGGAGGCAGCAGUGGGGAAUAUUGGACAAUGGACCAAAAGUCUGAUCCAGCAAUUCUGUGUGCACGAUGAAGGUCUUCGGAUUGUAAAGUGCUUUCAUUAGGGAAGAAAAAAAUGACGGUACCUACAGAAGAAGCGACGGCUAAAUAUGUGCCAGCCGCCGCCGUAA
Molecule: ribosomal RNA, 478 nt
Filed under: uncultured bacterium
Lineage: Bacteria
Description: partial 16S ribosomal RNA
Rfam family: Bacterial small subunit ribosomal RNA
Source: RNAcentral